Molecule: ribosomal RNA, 429 nt
Filed under: Bacillota bacterium
Lineage: Bacteria; Bacillati; Bacillota
Description: Firmicutes bacterium partial 16S ribosomal RNA
Rfam family: Bacterial small subunit ribosomal RNA
Source: RNAcentral
UAGGGAAUCUUCGGCAAUGGGGGCAACCCUGACCGAGCAACGCCGCGUGAGUGAAGAAGGUUUUCGGAUCGUAAAGCUCUGUUGUAAGUCAAGAACGGGUGUGAGAGUGGAAAGUUCACACUGUGACGGUAGCUUACCAGAAAGGGACGGCUAACUACGUGCCAGCAGCCGCGGUAAUACGUAGGUCCCGAGCGUUGUCCGGAUUUAUUGGGCGUAAAGCGAGCGCAGGCGGUUUGAUAAGUCUGAAGUUAAAGGCUGUGGCUCAACCAUAGUUCGCUUUGGAAACUGUCAAACUUGAGUGCAGAAGGGGAGGGUGGAAUUCCAUGUGUAGCGGUGAACUGCGUAGAUAUAUGGAGGAACACCGGUGGCGAAAGCGGCUCUCUGGUCUGUAACUGACGCUGAGGCUCGAAAGCGUGGGGAGCGAACAGG